RNAcentral lists this ribosomal RNA (372 nucleotides) under Triticum aestivum (bread wheat). RNAcentral describes it as "partial small subunit ribosomal RNA". Lineage: Eukaryota; Viridiplantae; Streptophyta; Magnoliopsida; Poales; Poaceae. The record is from RNAcentral.
AUGGAGAGUCUUCUCCAUUGGGAUUUCUCUCCGGGGCUGGCGAUUCAAUCUCAGGUACCUGCCAAGUUUGGGUCCACGGUGCACUUCUCUCUGGCCAACCCUGGAUCCUCAAAGGAAUUCUUCCUUGUUGUCUCAUUCUCGUCGGCAUCAUUCAAGUUGACAGAGGAAUCAAUGGCCCUUGCGCUUCAAUCUUGCAUCGGUGGUAUCAGUGCGAGUUUUAGGGUUUUGCAACUCAGUGAUCACCGCUUCCGAUUCUCGGUAGCCUCAAAUCGUGUGGGUCAUUUUAUUUAUGGCCUUAAGGAUAGGAUUUGGCCGGAUUUCAUUUGUCAUUUUCACCUGUUUCAUGGAGUUCCUGAUCCAAGCUGUGUUUAG